GACGAACGCUGGCGGCGUGCUUAACACAUGCAAGUCGAACGGAAAGGCCCUGCUUGCAGGGUACUCGAGUGGCGAACGGGUGAGUAACACGUGGGUGAUCUGCCCUGCACUUCGGGAUAAGCCUGGGAAACUCGGUCUAAUACCGGAUAGGAGCCAUUUUUAGUGUGAUGGUUGGAAAGUUUUUUCGGUGUAGGAUGAGCUCGCGGCCUAUCAGCUUGUUGGUGGGGUAAUGGCCUACCAAGGCGGCGACGGGUAGCCGGCCUGAGAGGGUGGACGGCCACAUUGGGACUGGGAUACGGCCCAGACUCCUACGGGAGGCAGCAGUGGGGAAUAUUGCACAAUGGGCGCAAGCCUGAUGCAGCGACGCCGCGUGGGGGGUGACGGCCUUCGGGUUGUAAACUCCUUUCGCUAGGGACGAAGCUUUUUGUGACGGUACCUAGAUAAGAAGCACCGGCUAACUACGUG
This 465-nucleotide ribosomal RNA is filed under the name uncultured bacterium. RNAcentral's name for it is "partial 16S ribosomal RNA". It matches the Rfam family "Bacterial small subunit ribosomal RNA", at positions 28 to 507 of the family's 1533-position model. The record is from RNAcentral.